UACGGAGGGUGCAAGCGUUGUCCGGAUUUAUUGGGUUUAAAGGGUGCGUAGGCGGCUUUUUAAGUCAGCGGUGAAAUACUUCAGCUCAACUGGAGUCGUGCCGUUGAUACUGGGAAGCUUGAGUACUGAUGAAGUGGGCGGAAUUGAAGGUGUAGCGGUGAAAUGCAUAGAUAUCGUCAAGAACACCGAUUGCGAAGGCAGCUCACUAAGGAGUAACUGACGCUGAGGCACGAAAGCGUGGGUAGCAAACAGG
RNAcentral lists this ribosomal RNA (253 nucleotides) under uncultured bacterium. RNAcentral's name for it is "partial 16S ribosomal RNA". It matches the Rfam family "Bacterial small subunit ribosomal RNA", at positions 524 to 776 of the family's 1533-position model. The record is from RNAcentral.